RNAcentral lists this ribosomal RNA (279 nucleotides) under uncultured bacterium. Its description in RNAcentral is "partial 16S ribosomal RNA". It matches the Rfam family "Bacterial small subunit ribosomal RNA", at positions 335 to 604 of the family's 1533-position model. The record is from RNAcentral.
ACUCCUACGGGAGGCAGCAGUGGGGAAUAUUUGGACAAUGGGCGAAAGCCUGAUCCAGCCAUGCCGCGUGUGUGAAGAAGGUCUUCGGAUUGUAAAGCACUUUAAGUUGGGAGGAAGGGCAGUAAGCAUAAUACCUUGCUGUUUUUGACGUUACCGACAGAAUAAGCACCGGCUAACUUCUGCCAGCAGCCGCGGUAAUACGAAGGGUGCAAGCGUUAAUCGGAAUUACUGGGCGUAAAGCGCGCGUAGGUGGUUCGUUAAGUUGGAUGUGAAAGCCCC